RNAcentral lists this ribosomal RNA (253 nucleotides) under uncultured bacterium. Its description in RNAcentral is "partial 16S ribosomal RNA". It matches the Rfam family "Bacterial small subunit ribosomal RNA", at positions 524 to 776 of the family's 1533-position model. The record is from RNAcentral.
UACGUAGGUGGCAAGCGUUGUCCGGAUUUGUUGGGCUUAAAGGGUGCGUAGGCGGCCUUGUAAGUCAGUGCUGAAAUAUCCCGGCUUAACCGGGAGGGUGGCAUUGAUACUGCAGGGCUUGAGUAAAGUUGAGGUUGGCGGAAUUGACGGUGUAGCGGUGAAAUGCUUAGAUAUCGUCAAGAACACCGAUAGUGAAGACAGCUAACUAAGCUUUAACUGACGCUGAGGCACGAAAGUGUGGGGAUCAAACAGG